Molecule: non-coding RNA, 709 nt
Organism: Oryzias latipes (Japanese medaka)
Lineage: Eukaryota; Metazoa; Chordata; Actinopteri; Beloniformes; Adrianichthyidae
Source: RefSeq, a predicted model, not a curated record
UUUGAUUUUUAUCAUUUUUUAAUUAACUUUGAGGUUUUUUAUAUGAGGUUCUCAUGCUCGCGACACGGAAGUAAACUGCACGAGGCGCCUGCAGGUUAGCAGCGUUGCUUGUAAGCUAUCAGCGUGCUCACAAACCGGGGACGGUGGUUUUUUGUCCGGACAGUUGUGAGAUCAGGUUUUUGGCGUCCGUGACGGAAAGACAACGUGGAUUGCUGUGAUUGUGAGACUAGCAGACGAUCUGAGCUGCAGUGAAGUGAAGAGGACGGCGGUAUUUGUGGGAGUUGGAGCUGAAGUCUUCCUUGUCUUCCCUUCAGCCUCUGAGAGAGUUGAUCAGCGAGCGACUAGCUGCUGCUGCUGAAGAAAUCUUCCGACUCUGUGAAGGAACCAUCUUCCAGAACGAGGAGGAGCUCUGUCGUCAGCGCAGACUGCUGGAUGUUGUCUGGAAACCACAGCUGCAGGUCCAAGCUAUAGUCCUCUAGCAUUGGGUGACUAAAGAAGAAGAUCUCUGCAACUAGCAGAGGAAUUUCAGAGUGGAACAAAUAAUCCAGAACUCACACAGACUAAACAGGAACUAAAGGAACCAGAUUGAAGAUUGAAGGGGGGGGACUAGAACCUCCAAUGAUUAAAGAGGAGCAGGAAGAACUGGAGCCUCAAGUGGUUAAAGAGGAGCAGGAAGAACUAAAACCUCCAAUGAUUAAAGAGGAGCAGG